Molecule: long non-coding RNA, 450 nt
Filed under: Chinchilla lanigera (long-tailed chinchilla)
Lineage: Eukaryota; Metazoa; Chordata; Mammalia; Rodentia; Chinchillidae
Description: lncRNA (ENSCLAG00000024966.1)
Source: RNAcentral
AUGGAACAAAGCCUGAUCUCCUGUAGCAAGAGUGGAUUCUUCCAGGAGAUUCCCUUGGCCUGUAACUGCAGUCCUUCCUCUGGUUUCCAGCCUGCUGGCCUCCCACAUCAGACUUUGGACUCCUUAACCCUCCUCAAUCCUGUGAGAUUCUUCAGAGGCUCAAGGACAUGCAGUGUCACAGCAGACGGAGUCACAAGGAGCUGUGACAGUCCAUUCAGUAUGGGAAGGAGUUCCAGAAUAUAAAAUGGUGCUGAUCUUCUAUCAAGCUUUUUUGUUUGAGAAAAUAUUGUUAUUUUAUUAAAAUGUUAGUGAUGUUAUGAUGUAUUUCUUAUUAUUGAGGAUUUUUGUUGUUAUUAUAAGUGAAUCAAUAAAUUAGUUUUUAAAAAUUUUUCUCAGGUUUGAUUUCUAACAUAGCAAAUAUCAACAGGCCCAGUCCACUUAAGCUUCUUG